This 358-nucleotide ribosomal RNA is filed under the name uncultured bacterium. RNAcentral's name for it is "partial 16S ribosomal RNA". It matches the Rfam family "Bacterial small subunit ribosomal RNA", at positions 338 to 693 of the family's 1533-position model. The record is from RNAcentral.
CCUACGGGUGGCAGCAGUGAGGAAUAUUGGUCAAUGGGCUUACGCCUGAACCAGCCAAGUCGCGUGAGGGAAGACUGCCCUAUGGGUUGUAAACCUCUUUUGUCAGGGAGCAAUUGGCGCUACGUGUAGCGUUAUCGAGAGUACCUGCAGAAAAAGCAUCGGCUAACUCCGUGCCAGCAGCCGCGGUCAUACGGAGGAUGCGAGCGUUAUCCGGAUUUAUUGGGUUUACAGGGUGCGUAGGCGGAAUGCCAAGUCAGCGGUAAAAUCGCGGGGCUCAACCUCGCUUGGCCGUUGAAACUGGCGGUCUUGAGUUGGCGAGAAGUAUGCGGAAUGCGUGGUGUAGGGGUGAAAGGGAUAG